GAUCACCCGGAACACUAGCUGUGGGUGUGUGUGUCCUGUACUUGCAUCCUGUCGAAUCUAUGGGAAAUGUUACAUUUUACGUGUACUGUAAACGAAAUAUAUGUUAAGCUCAAAGUGGCCAUAUUCCAGCUGCGGAAUCAUAUAUAUAGCUAGAAGAAGAAAUCGCAAAGGACAAAGAAGGACGAGGCGUGGUUUAUUUUACGAUAAAACAUUGAAAGAUUACAACCAAAAGUGGGCAAGAUAUGACAAUCUGUAAUGGGAGAAAAGAAAAUUUCAACAUGAAAGGAAUCUGUGUAGCCGUGUGUGCCCUCCUGACCCUGGCGUCCGGCCAUCCUUACCAUCCACCACCAUCUUCAAACUACUACGGGAGCUUGGUUGGAGCAGGAGGACUGGGCGGAAUGGUUGGACUCUCAGUGUCUGCCAGCAGCUCCACGGGCCCUGCGAUGUCCGUAGUGUCCACCCGACCUGCCGCAUCAGCUGUAUACCCUGCUGGAACUGGGGUACUGUACCCUUCUCUCCCUACAGCUGGUACCCAGUGGUCAUAUGGCUCAGUAUAUGGUUCAAGGUACUCUCUCGUUCCAAGAAGGCCUACCAUCGAUUUCCCACCAAGGGGUACCGCCAAGGGCGGAUAUCGCCCAAGAUACUUUUAAAGAAGGCGAUAUGGACAGCUGUGACGAUAAAGGUUUAAGACAGAGUCUUGCUGAAUGGUCUCGUCCGUAUAUGGAGCAGCAAAGAAGGUUGAAUGAACAAUGUGUCUUGGAUGUCGAAAUGCAAUAAAUGGUGCUUCAAUACAUUA
Long non-coding RNA from Haliotis rufescens (red abalone), 796 nucleotides. RefSeq lists it as uncharacterized. The transcript has 3 exons. NCBI's taxonomy places the organism in Eukaryota, Metazoa, Mollusca, Gastropoda, Lepetellida, Haliotidae. The record is from RefSeq and is a predicted model, not a curated record.